Molecule: ribosomal RNA, 253 nt
Filed under: uncultured bacterium
Lineage: Bacteria
Description: partial 16S ribosomal RNA
Rfam family: Bacterial small subunit ribosomal RNA
Source: RNAcentral
UACGUAGGGGGCAAGCGUUGUCCGGAAUCAUUGGGCGUAAAGCGCGUGUAGGCGGCCCGGUAAGUCCGCUGUGAAAGUCGGGGGCUCAACCCUCGGAUGCCGGUGGAUACUGUCGGGCUAGAGUGCGGGAGAGGCGAGUGGAAUUCCUGGUGUAGCGGUGAAAUGCGUAGAUAUCUGGAGGAAUACCGGUGGCGAAGGCGGCAUCCUGGACCGACAUUGACGCUGAGGAGCGAAAGCUAGGGGAGCAAACGGG